UACGGGGGGGGCAAGCGUUGUUCGGAAUUACUGGGCGUAAAGGGGUCGUAGGCGGCCAACUAAGUCCGACGUGAAAUCCCAAGGCUUAACCUUGGAACUGCGUCGGAUACUGGAUGGCUUGAAUUCGGGAGAGGGAUGCAGAAUUCCAGGUGUAGCGGUGAAAUGCGUAGAUAUCUGGAGGAAUACCGGUGGCGAAGGCGGCAUACUGGACCGACAUUGACGCUGAGGAGCGAAAGCGAGGGGAGCAAACAGG
This 253-nucleotide ribosomal RNA is filed under the name uncultured bacterium. RNAcentral's name for it is "partial 16S ribosomal RNA". It matches the Rfam family "Bacterial small subunit ribosomal RNA", at positions 524 to 776 of the family's 1533-position model. The record is from RNAcentral.